Molecule: ribosomal RNA, 449 nt
Filed under: uncultured bacterium
Lineage: Bacteria
Description: partial 16S ribosomal RNA
Rfam family: Bacterial small subunit ribosomal RNA
Source: RNAcentral
AUUGAACGCUGGCGGCAGGCCUAACACAUGCAAGUCGAACGAAGUCUUCGGACUUAGUGGCGCACGGGUGAGUAACACGUGGGAAUAUACCUUACGCUGGGGGAUAACAUCGGGAAACUGAUGCUAAUACCGCAUACGCCCUUCGGGGGAAAGAUUUAUCGGCGAAAGAUUAGCCCGCGUCCGAUUAGCUAGUUGGUGAGGUAAUGGCUCACCAAGGCUCCGAUCGGUAGCUGGUCUGAGAGGAUGACCAGCCACACUGGGACUGAGACACGGCCCAGACUCCUACGGGAGGCAGCAGUGGGGAAUAUUGGACAAUGGGCGCAAGCCUGAUCCAGCCAUGCCGCGUGAGUGAUGAAGGCCUUAGGGUUGUAAAGCUCUUUCACCCACGACGAUGAUGACGGUAGUGGGAGAAGAAGCCCCGGCUAACUUCGUGCCAGCCGCCGCGGUAA